Molecule: long non-coding RNA, 382 nt
Filed under: Carica papaya (papaya)
Lineage: Eukaryota; Viridiplantae; Streptophyta; Magnoliopsida; Brassicales; Caricaceae
Description: long non-coding RNA (CPAP_LNC016613)
Source: RNAcentral
UUAUCUGAAUUUACUAUUAGUCGUACUAUAUUUAGAAACUUUACCUUUAGGAAGGUUGAUUUAUAGUAUCCUGAUCGAAUUUCGAUCUUGUAGGAUAUUGGAUUUAUAGUUGUCUUCUCUUUUUUUUUUCUUCAUGAUUGGUCAUAUUUACCUAGCAUACUUUUCAUCAAUGAUUGAGAAAAUUUAAGGUUCUUUUCUAUAUGAUAGAGUAGAGAGGUCAGAUACUCUCAUAUUGGAGCCAGUCUGUAGCAAUAAUAGGGUUGAUCAAAUGGUUUCUAUUAUGUCUAGUUCAUUUAUAAUGCUUCUUAGAUUGUUUACUCUUUCAUGUGUGGUGGUUUAUGGGUCCAUACCACAUUUUCGUUGUGCCACUCUAAAUAAUGUU